GUGAAUCAUCGAAUUUUUGAACGCAAAUUGCACUUUCUGGUAUUCCGGAAAGUACGCCUGUUUGAGGGCCAGUUAAAUAAAAAUCGGUGUUGUUGCUGCUUCUCGUGGUGACGCGUCGGAAUUGAGUUGUCUUACCUUUGGCUAAGUGACUUAAAAUUUUGCACGCUUUUCGAACGUAUUCAAAUUUCUUAUGUAAGUUUGAGAUAUCGACUAAUUAAUUAGGUUCGUUACUCCUCUCGAUUCGAACCUA
Molecule: unclassified non-coding RNA, 250 nt
Filed under: Glomus sp.
Lineage: Eukaryota; Fungi; Glomeromycota; Glomeromycetes; Glomerales; Glomeraceae
Description: partial contains 5.8S ribosomal RNA and internal transcribed spacer 2
Rfam family: 5.8S ribosomal RNA (bases 1-71)
Source: RNAcentral